UGUUAAAAUUUUCAUCCAUUUGCAUUGUUAAAAAUUGACAUGAUUGAUAGAAUAACUAAAUAGUGACACGUGGUAUGCCAUGUGUAUCUCAUGUUGACGUACAGGACUUGUUUUUAUCAAUAAAAAUGGAUGAAAUUUUUAACA
Non-coding RNA from Gossypium raimondii (Peruvian cotton), 144 nucleotides. NCBI's taxonomy places the organism in Eukaryota, Viridiplantae, Streptophyta, Magnoliopsida, Malvales, Malvaceae. The record is from Rfam.